GAAUAUUGGACAAUGGGGGGAACCCUGAUCCAGCCAUGCCUCGUGUGUGAAGAUUGCCUUUUGGUUGUUAUGCACUUUAAGCUAGGAGGUGGCUACCUGUAUUAAUACUUUAGGACAGUGGACGUUACUCGCAGAAUAAUCACCGGAUAACCUUGUGCCCGCAGCCGCGGUAAUACAGAGGGUGCGAGCGUAAAUCGGAUGUACUGGGCGUAAAGCGUGCGUAGGAGGAAAAUUAAGUCAAAUGUGAAAUCCCCGAGCUUAACUUGGGAAUUGCAUUCGAUACUGGUUGGCUAGAGUAUGGGAGAGGAUGGUAGAAUUCAAGGUGUAGAGGUGAAAGGAGUAGAGAUCUGGAGGAAUACAGAUGGCGAAGGCAGCCAUCUGGACUAAUACUGACGCUGAGGUACGAAAGCAUGGGGAGCAAACA
RNAcentral lists this ribosomal RNA (424 nucleotides) under uncultured bacterium. RNAcentral describes it as "partial 16S ribosomal RNA". It matches the Rfam family "Bacterial small subunit ribosomal RNA", at positions 359 to 774 of the family's 1533-position model. The record is from RNAcentral.